Molecule: ribosomal RNA, 468 nt
Filed under: uncultured bacterium
Lineage: Bacteria
Description: partial 16S ribosomal RNA
Rfam family: Bacterial small subunit ribosomal RNA
Source: RNAcentral
GACGAACGCUGGCGGCGUGCUUAACACAUGCAAGUCGAACGGAAAGGCCCUGCUUUUGUGGGGUGCUCGAGUGGCGAACGGGUGAGUAACACGUGAGUAACCUGCCCUUGACUUUGGGAUAACUUCAGGAAACUGGGGCUAAUACCGGAUAGGAGCUCCUGCUGCAUGGUGGGGGUUGGAAAGUUUCGGCGGUUGGGGAUGGGCUCGCGGCUUAUCAGCUUGAUGGUGGGGUAGUGGCUUACAAAGGCUUUGACGGGUAGCCGGCCUGAGAGGGUGACCGGCCACAUUGGGACUGAGAUACGGCCCAGACUCCUACGUGAGGCAGCAGUGGGGAAUAUUGCACAAUGGGCGGAAGCCUGAUGCAGCAACGCCGCGUGCGGGAUGACGGCCUUCGGGUUGUAAACCGCUUUCGCCUGUGACGAAGCGUGAGUGACGGUAAUGGGUAAAGAAGCACCGGCUAACUACGUG